AAGGAAGCCGGUGUGAAUCCGGCGCGGUCCCGCCACUGUCAUCGGGGAGUGAUCCUCCUUGCGGAGCCACGAGCGCGCGUCGCGCGGUUGGAAGGCCGGGGGUGAGCGUUGAUCCGGGAGCCAGGAUACUU
RNAcentral lists this non-coding RNA (131 nucleotides) under Salinispora tropica. RNAcentral also lists the same sequence under 1 other name. Lineage: Bacteria; Bacillati; Actinomycetota; Actinomycetes; Micromonosporales; Micromonosporaceae. The record is from RNAcentral.